This 506-nucleotide ribosomal RNA is filed under the name uncultured bacterium. RNAcentral's name for it is "bacterial SSU rRNA". It matches the Rfam family "Bacterial small subunit ribosomal RNA", at positions 332 to 830 of the family's 1533-position model. The record is from RNAcentral.
CAGACUCCUACGGGAGGCAGCAGUAGGGAAUCUUCGGCAAUGGACGGAAGUCUGACCGAGCAACGCCGCGUGAGUGAAGAAGGUUUUCGGAUCGUAAAGCUCUGUUGUAAGAGAAGAACGAGUGUGAGAGUGGAAAGUUCACACUGUGACGGUAUCUUACCAGAAAGGGACGGCUAACUACGUGCCAGCAGCCGCGGUAAUACGUAGGUCCCGAGCGUUGUCCGGAUUUAUUGGGCGUAAAGCGAGCGCAGGCGGUUAGAUAAGUCUGAAGUUAAAGGCUGUGGCUUAACCAUAGUACGCUUUGGAAACUGUUUAACUUGAGUGCAAGAGGGGAGAGUGGAAUUCCAUGUGUAGCGGUGAAAUGCGUAGAUAUAUGGAGGAACACCGGUGGCGAAAGCGGCUCUCUGGCUUGUAACUGACGCUGAGGCUCGAAAGCGUGGGGAGCAAACAGGAUUAGAUACCCUGGUAGUCCACGCCGUAAACGAUGAGUGCUAGGUGUUAGACCC